ACGUUAGCGGCGGACGGGUGAGUAACACGUGGGUAACCUACCUAUAAGACUGGGAUAACUUCGGGAAACCGGAGCUAAUACCGGAUAAUAUUUAGAACCGCAUGGUUCGAUAGUGAAAGAUGGUUUUGCUAUCACUUAUAGAUGGACCCGCGCCGUAUUAGCUAGUUGGUAAGGUAACGGCUUACCAAGGCGACGAUACGUAGCCGACCUGAGAGGGUGAUCGGCCACACUGGAACUGAGACACGGUCCAGACUCCUACGGGAGGCAGCAGCC
Molecule: ribosomal RNA, 273 nt
Filed under: uncultured Staphylococcus sp.
Lineage: Bacteria; Bacillati; Bacillota; Bacilli; Caryophanales; Staphylococcaceae
Description: partial 16S ribosomal RNA
Rfam family: Bacterial small subunit ribosomal RNA
Source: RNAcentral